GCCUACGGCCAUACCAGUCUGAAAGUGCCUGAUCUCGUCAGAUCUCAGAAGUUAUGCAGACUUGGGCCUGAUUAGUACUUGUAUGGGAGACAAACUAGGGACCUCAGAUGCUGUAAGCU
RNAcentral lists this ribosomal RNA (119 nucleotides) under Pelobates cultripes (western spadefoot toad). Lineage: Eukaryota; Metazoa; Chordata; Amphibia; Anura; Pelobatidae. The record is from RNAcentral.